This 479-nucleotide ribosomal RNA is filed under the name uncultured bacterium. RNAcentral's name for it is "bacterial SSU rRNA". It matches the Rfam family "Bacterial small subunit ribosomal RNA", at positions 915 to 1391 of the family's 1533-position model. The record is from RNAcentral.
GGGGGCCCGCAAGCGGUGGAGCAUGUGGUUUAAUUCGAAGCAACGCGAAGAACCUUACCAGGUCUUGACAUCCCGCUGACCGCCUUGGAGACAAGGCUUUCCCUUCGGGGACAGCGGUGACAGGUGGUGCAUGGUUGUCGUCAGCUCGUGUCGUGAGAUGUUGGGUUAAGUCCCGCAACGAGCGCAACCCUUUGAUCUUAGUUGCCAGCAUUCAGUUGGGCACUCUAAGGUGACUGCCGGUGACAAACCGGAGGAAGGUGGGGAUGACGUCAAAUCAUCAUGCCCCUUAUGACCUGGGCUACACACGUGCUACAAUGGACGGUACAAAGGGUCGCGAACCCGCGAGGGGGAGCCAAUCCCGGAAAACCGUUCUCAGUUCGGAUUGCAGGCUGCAACUCGCCUGCAUGAAGCCGGAAUCGCUAGUAAUCGCGGAAUCAGCAUGCCCGCGGUGAAUACGUUCCCGGGGCCUUGUACACACC